This 255-nucleotide ribosomal RNA is filed under the name uncultured bacterium. RNAcentral describes it as "partial 16S ribosomal RNA". It matches the Rfam family "Bacterial small subunit ribosomal RNA", at positions 524 to 776 of the family's 1533-position model. The record is from RNAcentral.
UACGUAGGACCCAAGCGUUAUCCGGAGUGACUGGGCGUAAAGAGUUGCGUAGGUGGUCGGUAAAGUGAAUAGUGAAACCUGGUGGCUCAACCAUUCAGACUAUUAUUCAAACUCACCGACUCGAGAGUAGCAGAGGUAACUGGAAUUUCUAGUGUAGGAGUGAAAUCCGUAGAUAUUAGAAGGAACACCAAUGGCGUAGGCAGGUUACUGGGCUAUUUCUGACACUGAGGCACGAAAGCGUGGGGAGCGAACCGG